ACUGUGCAAAGGUAGCAUAAUCAUUUGUCUCUUAAUUGGAGGCUGGUAUGAAUGAUUGGACGAGGUAGGAGCUGUCUCAUUAUUAUAAUUAUAAUAAUUUAGCUUUUUAGUUAAAAGGCUAAGAUUUUUUUGGAGGACGAGAAGACCCUAUAGAUCUUUAUAAUAUUUAAUUUACUUUUAUUUUGGUUAUAAAUUUUUUAGUAUAUUAAUAAUUAUUUUGUUGGGGUGACAUGAAAAUUUAUUUAACUUUUCAUUUAUUUAAACAUGAAUUAGUGAGUAUUCGAUCCAUUUUUAGUGAUUGUAAGAAUAAGUUACCUUAGGGAUAA
Molecule: ribosomal RNA, 326 nt
Filed under: Afroptera munroi
Lineage: Eukaryota; Metazoa; Arthropoda; Insecta; Neuroptera; Nemopteridae
Description: partial large subunit ribosomal RNA
Source: RNAcentral